Molecule: RNA transcript, 2861 nt
Organism: Brachypodium distachyon (stiff brome)
Lineage: Eukaryota; Viridiplantae; Streptophyta; Magnoliopsida; Poales; Poaceae
Exons: 2
Source: RefSeq, a predicted model, not a curated record
UGAGCUGGUCAGGCUGGACCGUGACCACAACGAACCGGCCGCCAUCAAUCAACCCUACCAUCGUCGACCCCAGCAGACAGCGAGCAAUAGCAUUUCGCCGCCGCCGCCGCCGCCAUGCUCCGCCUCCAAAAGCGGCUGCUCUCCCUCCUCCGCAACGGCAGCGCCGUCCCUCUCCCCACGUCCACCCUCCACCGCCACCUCGCCGCCACCGCGUCCACCUCCACCGGAUCCCCUUUCUCCGUCGAGGACUACCUCGUCACCUCCUGCGGCCUCACCCGGGCCCAAACCGUCAGGGCGUCCAAGCACCUCUCCCACCUCAAGUCCCCCUCCAACCCCGACGCCGUCCUCGCCUUCCUCUCCAGCCUCGGCCUCUCCGGCUCCGACGUCGCCGCCGUCGUCUCCGCCGACCCGCGGUUCCUCUGCUCCAAGGUGGACGAGACCCUCGCCCCGCGCGUCGCCCAGCUCCGCGAUCUCGGCCUAUCCGAUUCCGACAUCGCGCGCCUCAUCUUGGUCGGCGCCCCCGUGCUCCGCUCCUGCGACAUCGCCAGCAGGCUCCAGUUUUGGAUCCCGCUAGUUGGCUCCUUCGACGAGUUGAUCCAUCUCACAUCCAGGGGGGCUCUAGGAGGUUCUUCCAUCCUAAGGCGUGACAUUGACGCUGUGGUUAAGCCCAACAUUGAACUUCUUCUGCGGUGCGGGUUAAGUAUCCGUGAUCUCGCCAAGACCGGUCUCAGUGGGAUGUGGGCGAUUGUCAGCAGCCCGGAUAAACUCAAGGUGUUAGUCAGACGCGCGGAGGAGCUCGGAGUACCGCGUGGCUCAGGGCAGUUCAAGUAUGCGCUUGCAACUGUCUCCUGCAUGAGCCAGGAGAAGAUUGCUUCAAAAAUAGAGUUGCUGAAGAAGGCCCUUGGGUGCUCUGACGACCAGGUGAAGUUCGCGGUCGUCAAGCACCCAAGCAUCCUAAGAGCAUCUGAUGGCAACCUGCGCAGUACGGUGGAGUUCCUCGUCACCAAGGUUGGUCUUGAGCCAAAUUACAUUGUGCACAGGCCUGGACUGUUGAGUUACAGCCUGGAGGGGAGGCUGGUACCUCGAUUUAUCAUCAUGAAGAUACUGCACAGCAAGGGGAUAAGUGUUGACUAUUGCUCAAUGGCUGUUGCGACUGAAAGUUACUUCAUUUCAAGAUAUAUCGACUAUUACGAGGAGAGUGUUCCCACGCUCGCAGAUGUUUAUGCCGCAGCUCGUGCAGGGAAAAUACCCUCUGAACUUCAACCUUGACACCUUUCUAGGGAUUUUGAAGGUUCAUUCCAUUGUUCAUGGUAAUAGCCAUUCACUUAGCAUUGUUGUCAUUUCAUAAUCUUUGUUUGAUUUUAGCAAUGAUGCUGAAACAGAAUUGCCGCUGAUCUUAUUAACGGUACCAUGACAAGUUCCAUUUGCUGAUACCAUCGUGCAUUCGAAAUUCUGAAUUUAUUGCCCAUCUCUCACAGUUUUGUUGGUUGAUAUCCAUGAACUACUAAUUGAAUUAGGGGGAAAUAGUGGCAUGACACAUUAAGUGUGGUAUUUGCCAAGAUGGAUUGCCUUGGCCGAAUGCUGCAGAUCUUAAUGUUGCUCACUACAUAGCAGUAUGUUUGUUUAAUCGGGUAGAAAAUUUCUGUUUUGAGACAUUAGAGAUGGAGGGGGAGGGAAAUGAAUGAAGUAUUUCCCUGGAUUGGUCGCAAUGAACUUGGCUGAUCCGAUGAGGUUUAAUGAUGGGUUAUACUAGCUUUGAGCGAGGAAUACAGUGUGUCAUUGGAGAUUGGAACUUGUCAGUUGGCCACCAAACUAGAGUUUUUUAAUCUUCUUCGCUAGCUCCUGAGAAGCUCCUUUGCGCCUUGAAGAAGAGGGGUGUUUCUGCUAGUCUUCGGUCCAGAGAGCAUCAGGGUGUAGCUACUGCACAUUGAGGACAGGCGCCAAAUGUAGCUGACUUGUAUGUAUGUUGCAUCACCUAGGAGAAUAUUGUUUAAACAGGAGAAGCUCGCCUGAAGCUCCAAAAUGCCUCUGAAGCUCACCUAAAGCUCCUAAAUGCUCUGAAGCUCGCCUUAAGCUCCUAAAUGCCUCUGAAGCUCGCUUGAAGCUCCUAAUUCCUAAAUGCCUCUGAGAAGCUGCGGCAAACAGCAGAUUUUCUGGUCGACGAUGUCAAUCUUGACCAGGGAGCAGAUCAAUGUUCUUCCAAGCUAAUAACUCAACUAUGGCUACCAGCAAAAAGGAAAAGAAGAAAAGGCACGGCUAUGGAGGUAUAGCAGUAUAUGCCACAGAGUUCAUGAACAAUAUAGCGAUCCCUGGCUGGUAUCUCCUCUUUUCAGAAGUCCACCAUACGCGAUUGCUCUGCCUCUGUGGAUGUUCCCUGGCAAGCUCCCCCGGAGGGCUGGACAAAGUUGAAUAUUAAUGGCAGCUUCCUUGCUGCCACGGGCGAAGGGGGAGCUGGGAUGAUCCUAAAAGACAGCAUUGGAGCAACGUUGUUCAGUGCUGUCCGUUAUUUGCCGUUCUGGGGAGAUGCUUUUGAGGCCGAAUUGGCUGCAUGCAUGGAGGGCUCCAACGGACUGAGCUGCCGAUUCAAGUGGAGACUGAUUGCGCCCAACUUAUUGUUCAGGUCCAAACUCAUGAACUUGACAGGUCUCGGUACUGUAGCCUUGUUAAGGAGGUGCAGCGCUUGUUAGCCUCACAAAGAGAAAUUAAGUUGUCUAAAUUUCAGAGGUCACAAAAUAGUGUUAGUCAUGACUUAGCAAAUUAUGCUCGGUCUAGCGAGUCGGACAUUGGGAGUAAUCCCCUAGAGGAUGUCCCAGAUGUAACAGUUUUGUGAUCAAUGAGAUCUCUCUUUUUCGAGAAAAAAA